GCCUGCCAGAGAGACAUGAAUUCAUUGUGGCGUUUUCACCCUGUUUUGCUUUCCAUCCUUGUUCACCUGGAUUCAGGUUUAUGUGGAGACCACAUCAUGGUAUAUUCCAGGGCAGGAAGUGACGUCACAAUUCAUUGUGCUAAUGGGACUCUUCCUGGGUGUAGCUCAAUAAACUGGGAGUUCAAAAAAAAUCACAGCAGCAAACAUCUCUUGGUGGUGGACGGCCGUGUCGAACAUGAUACACUCGGAGCUGAGCGACGGAGGCUGGAGCCUGACUGUUCUCUGCACAUUGGUUAUGUCACCGCUGAUGAUGCAGGACAGUACAUCUGUAGAAAAAAUCAGAGAGAAAGUAGUGAAGUUCAUCUUGCUGUGAUCAGUGUUGUCAGCUCCAUUCAUGAGUCUAAGCUGAAGGUUAACGAUACUGUGACCCUUCACUGUCUCCUGCACACAUGUGACUCUACCACCCACUGCAAUGCAUACAAGGAUG
Molecule: long non-coding RNA, 487 nt
Organism: Sardina pilchardus (European sardine)
Lineage: Eukaryota; Metazoa; Chordata; Actinopteri; Clupeiformes; Clupeidae
Exons: 3
Source: RefSeq, a predicted model, not a curated record